AUAUUGCACAAUGGGGGAAACCCUGAUGCAGCGACGCCGCGUGAGUGAAGAAGUAUCUCGGUAUGUAAAGCCCUAUCAGCAGGAAAGAUAAUGACGGUACCUGACUAAGAAGCCCCGGCUCCCUACCUGCCAGCAGCCGCGGGAAUACGUAGGGGGCAAGCGUUACCCGGAUUUACUGGGUGUAAAGGGAGCGUAGACGGCAGCGCAAGUCUGGAGUGAAAUGCCGGGGCCCAACCCCGGAACUGCUUUGGAAACUGUGCGGCUCGAGUGCGGGAGAGGUAGGCGGAAUUCCUAGUGUAGCGGUGAAAUGCGUAGAUAUUAGGAGGAACACCAGUGGCGAAGGCGGCUUACUGGACCGUAACUAACGUUGAGGCUCGAAAGCGUGGGGAGCAAAC
RNAcentral lists this ribosomal RNA (395 nucleotides) under uncultured bacterium. Its description in RNAcentral is "bacterial SSU rRNA". It matches the Rfam family "Bacterial small subunit ribosomal RNA", at positions 361 to 773 of the family's 1533-position model. The record is from RNAcentral.